This 958-nucleotide small RNA is filed under the name Pan troglodytes (chimpanzee). RNAcentral's name for it is "processed transcript". The record is from RNAcentral. Lineage: Eukaryota; Metazoa; Chordata; Mammalia; Primates; Hominidae.
UGGACUAUUGGUUUCAACAUGAGACUAAUCCAGGGUGGUGACAUGCCGGUCUUUGUAGUUCUUGCUUCGGGGUUAAUGAGGGGCAGGAAAGAGUUCCUUAGACUCCUGCAUGGCAUCAUGAAUGCUGCUGUUCUUCUUACUUUGGUUUUUUUCCUCCUCCACCUUUUCUACCUUGGUGUGCUGGGAUCAGAUCCUGCUUAUCUUCCACUUCUUAAGAAAAGCUGACAUAGAAGACACAUUGGGACUAUAACAGGGCUGGGUCUCCUCUUCCACUCCCACUAGACACAUGCUGCAGUACAUCAGAGAGUUUGUCACCAGUUAAGCAGGCUCCUCGGAAGUCCCCCUCCGACACUGAGGGUCUUGUAAAGAGUCUGCCUUCUGGAUCUCACCAGGGCCCAGUCAUAUAUGCACAGUUAGACCACUCCGGCGGACAUCACAGUGACAAGAUUAACAAGUCAGAGUCUGUGGUGUAUGCGGAUAUCCGAAAGAAUUAAGAGAAUACCUAGAACAUAUCCUCAGCAAGAAACAAAACCAAACUGGACUCUCGUGCAGAAAAUGUAGCCCAUUACCACAUGUAGCCUUGGAGACCCAGGCAAGGACAAGUACACGCGUACUCACAGAGGGACAGAAAGAUGUGUACAAAGGAUAUGUAUAAAUAUUCUAUUUAGUCUUCCUGAUAUGAGGAGCCAGUGUUGCAUGAUGAAAAGAUGGUAUGAUUCUACAUAUGUACCCAUUGUCUUGCUGUUUUUGUACUUUCUUUUCAGGUCAUUUACAAUUGGGAGAUUUCAAAAACAUUCCUUUCACCAUCAUUUAGAAAUGGUUUGCCUUAAUGGAGACAAUAGCAGAUCCUGUAGUAUUUCCAGUAGACAUGGCCUUUUAAUCUAAGGGCUUAAGACUGAUUAGUCUUAGCAUUUACUGUAGUUGGAGGAUGGAGAUGCUAUGGUGGAAGCAUACCCAG